Molecule: ribosomal RNA, 253 nt
Filed under: uncultured bacterium
Lineage: Bacteria
Description: partial 16S ribosomal RNA
Rfam family: Bacterial small subunit ribosomal RNA
Source: RNAcentral
UACGGGGGGGGCAAGCGUUGUUCGGAAUUACUGGGCGUAAAGGGCUCGUAGGUGGCCAACUAAGUCGGACGUGAAAUCCCUCGGCUUAACCGGGGAACUGCGUCCGAUACUGGUUGGCUUGAGUUUGGGAGAGGGAUGCGGAAUUCCUGGUGUAGCGGUGAAAUGCGCAGAUAUCAGGAGGAACACCAAUUGCGAAGGCAGCUCGCUGGGACGUAACUGACGCUGAGGUGCGAAAGCGUGGGGAGCAAACAGG